UACGUAGGGUGCGAGCGUUAAUCGGAAUUACUGGGCGUAAAGCGGGCGCAGACGGUUACUUAAGCAGGAUGUGAAAUCCCCGGGCUCAACCUGGGAACUGCGUUCUGAACUGGGUGACUAGAGUGUGUCAGAGGGAGGUAGAAUUCCACGUGUAGCAGUGAAAUGCGUAGAGAUGUGGAGGAAUACCGAUGGCGAAGGCAGCCUCCUGGGAUAACACUGACGUUCAUGCCCGAAAGCGUGGGUAGCAAACAGGAUUAGAUACCCUGGUAGUCCACGCCCUAAACGAUGUCGAUUAGCUGUUGGGCAGCAUGACUGCUUAGUAGCGAAGCUAACGCGUGAAAUCGACCGCCUGGGGAGUACGGUCGCAAGAUUAAAACUC
This 379-nucleotide ribosomal RNA is filed under the name uncultured Neisseria sp. RNAcentral's name for it is "bacterial SSU rRNA". It matches the Rfam family "Bacterial small subunit ribosomal RNA", at positions 524 to 902 of the family's 1533-position model. Lineage: Bacteria; Pseudomonadati; Pseudomonadota; Betaproteobacteria; Neisseriales; Neisseriaceae. The record is from RNAcentral.